CUUCUUCUUCUUCUUCUUUUUUAAGCUUUUGAAUGUUGACUUGUUCAUUCAUUUAAAUGUUCACUUGAGAUUUGGAUAUUUGUGGGACUAUGAUAUCUGUAAUAGAAUAUAUACAGAGGGUGUCUUCUUAUUCUUCUUCCUCCUCUUAUUUCUCCUCUUAGAAGUCAUUCAGUUUCUUUGGAUCACAGAUAGGAAUAGCUAAAAUCACUCUAGUGGCACUGGUUAAACUGUUUACUAACUAUGCAGCACUUUACAAGAAUUUGGAAAUUUUCUUCAUGUCAAUUUACUUCAAAAUUUGUUCAUUAAUAGCUUGAAAAAGGAAGCUCAAUAAUGCUAAUUAUUGAGGUGCUAAAUUCUGCUUCCUUAUUGCAGUAAAUAUGGACAUAC
This 387-nucleotide unclassified non-coding RNA is filed under the name Hevea brasiliensis (rubber tree). Lineage: Eukaryota; Viridiplantae; Streptophyta; Magnoliopsida; Malpighiales; Euphorbiaceae. The record is from RNAcentral.